Molecule: small RNA, 930 nt
Filed under: Pan troglodytes (chimpanzee)
Lineage: Eukaryota; Metazoa; Chordata; Mammalia; Primates; Hominidae
Description: retained intron
Source: RNAcentral
AGAUGUUGCUCAACUCAGACAUCUUCUGGAAGCCCCAGGAGGCUGUGCAGGGAGAUGUGGGUUCCUUCGUGCUGAAGUUAGUGGAGGGCCUUCAGGGCCAGACCUGGGCCCCAGACUGGGUGGAGGAGCUGCGGGAAGCCGACCGGCAGAAGGAGCAGACCUUUCGGGAGAAGGCAGCGAUGCCUGUGGCCCAGCACCUGAACCCAGUGCAGGUGCUGCAGCUGGUGGAGGAAACGCUACCUGACAACUCAAUUCUGGUGGUGGAUGGCGGGGACUUCGUGGGCACUGCUGCCCAUCUGGUACAGCCCCGCGGCCCCCUGCGCUGGCUCGAUCCUGGUAAGGAAGGGCCCCCGCCUGGGGCAGUGGGCACCAUCCAUCAGGACGCCUUCACACCCACCUGCUCUUGGUCCUCUUAGGGGCCUUUGGGACUCUGGGAGUUGGUGCAGGAUUUGCACUUGGGGCCAAGCUGUGCCGGCCAGAUGCUGAGGUGAGGCACUGGAGUUGGGAGACUUGCUGCUCUCUAGGCCCUGAUCCACCCUAACCAUCCUGGGUCCCCUCCCGACUAGGUCUGGUGCCUGUUUGGGGACGGAGCUUUUGGCUACAGCCUCAUCGAAUUUGAUACAUUCGUCAGACACAAGGUGACUGGGCUGGCCUGAGGGAAGCUUAGGGCCUGGGGUUCUGGGAGAUGUCACCAGGGGUGGGCUGAGGUGGGGAGGGAGCCUCCUCUCUGGCAGAGGCCCUAUCCCUGUCUCUGUCCUCUGGCUGGCCAAGCCAUGGGGCUGAAGGCUGCGGCCUGCCUUCAUCUUCUUCCUGUAGAUCCCAGUGAUGGCCUUGGUAGGGAAUGAUGCUGGCUGGACACAGAUUUCUCGGGAGCAGGUGCCCUCUCUGGGCAGCAACGUGGCCUGUGGCCUGGCCUACACUGGUGAGGGG